AUGUUCAACUUAUUGGCUGACUUUAAACUUUUGGAUAAUUAUUGCUCUGUUAAUUUUCAACCCCUAACUUAUCUUAUCUGCCUUUUUUCCCCUCUCCUCUUUGCCAAAAUCCUCUUCCUCAUCAACAAAUGAUGCUUUGAAGGCAUUCCUAUUGAGGUCAGCUUCCAGCAACUCCUCCUUGUCUGCCUCUGGGAAGGCUUCUGACCAACCCAAGCGAACACUAGUAUCAAGUGCUGAGAUGGAAGCUAUACUGUUGGGUGGCUGCAUUUAAUCUCACUGAGUCAAUGGCUAUUUCUCACAAUAACAUUUUGGUGAAAAAAUUGGUAGAUUGGAUUUCUUAUAAGAUAUUGUUGCUGCUGUUUCAACCUCAGUAAAGAUUAAAGAAGAGGCAGCAUAGAUCACAAAUCUGGCAACUAUCUGGUUUAUAUCCCUCUUCUUAUCCAUCUUUUCAACGGGUAUAUUGGAGAUGAGGUGGAGUGGUGUGGGCAUAGACGAAUGGUGGAGAAACGAGCAAUUCUGGGUGAUCGGUGGUGUUUCUGCCCCUUUGUUUUGCAGUGUGUCAAGGUCUGCUAUCUAGCAGGUAUCGACGCCAAUUUCACAGUGACCUCCAAGGCCUCAAAUGAAGACGGUGAUUAUAAGAGCUAUACAUGUUUAAGUAAACAACCCUGCUUAUCCCACCCACAACCCUUCUGAUCAUAAACUUGGUAGGAGUAGUUGUAGGCAUCUCAAACGCAAUUGACAGCGGGUUUCAGUCAUGGGGUCCGUUGUUUGGGAAGCUUUUCUUUGCAUUGUGGGUGAUUCUACACCUUUAUCGAUUGCUGUUUGUUAUUUCUCUUGAUUGCUGCUGUUUGUGCUCCAUUGUUUACUAAAUUUUGAAAUCAAUAGCGUUUUGGACUUCUCAAUAGGUAAGUUUAUAAUUAGCAUACAAAAUUGGAUUUGGUGUAUAUAUUGUGUUUGAUAAUAUG
Chenopodium quinoa (quinoa) is the source of this 965-nucleotide long non-coding RNA. RefSeq lists it as uncharacterized. NCBI's taxonomy places the organism in Eukaryota, Viridiplantae, Streptophyta, Magnoliopsida, Caryophyllales, Amaranthaceae. The record is from RefSeq and is a predicted model, not a curated record. The transcript is spliced from 3 exons.